This 123-nucleotide unclassified non-coding RNA is filed under the name uncultured fungus. RNAcentral's name for it is "sequence contains ITS1". Lineage: Eukaryota; Fungi. The record is from RNAcentral.
AUCUUUUAAUUACUUUAUUCAAGUAAAAUACAUGUUAUUUUCAAAAGUGUGGGGUUUUAAAUACGCGCAAGCCAGGCUUGCUUAGAUUCAAUAAUGAUCCUUCCGCAGGUUCACCUACGGAAA